Long non-coding RNA from Carassius auratus (goldfish), 163 nucleotides. RefSeq lists it as uncharacterized. NCBI's taxonomy places the organism in Eukaryota, Metazoa, Chordata, Actinopteri, Cypriniformes, Cyprinidae. The record is from RefSeq and is a predicted model, not a curated record. The transcript is spliced from 3 exons.
GUCUAAUUUUCACAUCUGCUCAAGAUUCUGAUAUUUCAUCCGAAGAAGAGCCUAUGCAAUCACACAGAAACCUGAUCCAGGACUUGCAUGUGCUGGGAUUAACCAAAAAAUAUUUCAUCUCGGCCUUCUUCCCAGGGCAGUUGUUAAAGAAGAUAUAUACGUC